This 253-nucleotide ribosomal RNA is filed under the name uncultured bacterium. RNAcentral's name for it is "partial 16S ribosomal RNA". It matches the Rfam family "Bacterial small subunit ribosomal RNA", at positions 524 to 776 of the family's 1533-position model. The record is from RNAcentral.
UACAGAGGGUGCUAGCGUUGUUCGGAAUGACUGGGCGUAAAGGGCGCGUAGGCGGUUAAUCAAGUCAGAUGUGAAAGCCCUGGGCUUAACCCAGGAAAUGCAUAUGAUACUGAUUGGCUAGAGAGCGAGAGAGGAGAGCGGAAUUCCUAGUGGAGAGGUGAAAUUCGUAGAUAUUAGGAGGAACACCAGAGGCGAAGGCGGCUUUCUGGCUCGCAACUGACGCUGAGGCGCGAAAGCGUGGGGAGCAAACAGG